Molecule: ribosomal RNA, 673 nt
Filed under: Staphylococcus sp.
Lineage: Bacteria; Bacillati; Bacillota; Bacilli; Caryophanales; Staphylococcaceae
Description: bacterial SSU rRNA
Rfam family: Bacterial small subunit ribosomal RNA
Source: RNAcentral
AACGAUACGUAGCCGACCUGAGAGGGUGAUCGGCCACACUGGAACUGAGACACGGUCCAGACUCCUACGGGAGGCAGCAGUAGGGAAUCUUCCGCAAUGGGCGAAAGCCUGACGGAGCAACGCCGCGUGAGUGAUGAAGGUCUUCGGAUCGUAAAACUCUGUUAUUAGGGAAGAACAAACGUGUAAGUAACUGUGCACGUCUUGACGGUACCUAAUCAGAAAGCCACGGCUAACUACGUGCCAGCAGCCGCGGUAAUACGUAGGUGGCAAGCGUUAUCCGGAAUUAUUGGGCGUAAAGCGCGCGUAGGCGGUUUUUUAAGUCUGAUGUGAAAGCCCACGGCUCAACCGUGGAGGGUCAUUGGAAACUGGAAAACUUGAGUGCAGAAGAGGAAAGUGGAAUUCCAUGUGUAGCGGUGAAAUGCGCAGAGAUAUGGAGGAACACCAGUGGCGAAGGCGACUUUCUGGUCUGUAACUGACGCUGAUGUGCGAAAGCGUGGGGAUCAAACAGGAUUAGAUACCCUGGUAGUCCACGCCGUAAACGAUGAGUGCUAAGUGUUAGGGGGUUUCCGCCCCUUAGUGCUGCAGCUAACGCAUUAAGCACUCCGCCUGGGGAGUACGACCGCAAGGUUGAAACUCAAAGGAAUUGACGGGGACCCGCACAAGCGGUGGAGCA